GGGGGGGCCGGCCUACACAUGCAAGUCGAGCGCAAUCCUUCGGGAUCGAGCGGCGGACGGGUUAGUAACGCGUGGGAACAUACCCUUCUCUAAGGAAUAGCCUCGGGAAACUGAGAGUAAUACCUUAUACGCCCUUCGGGGGAAAGAUUUAUCGGAGAAGGAUUGGCCCGCGUAAGAUUAGAUAGUUGGUGGGGUAACGGCCUACCAAGUCUACGAUCUUUAGCUGGUUUGAGAGGAUGAUCAGCAACACUGGGACUGAGACACGGCCCAGACUCCUACGGGAGGCAGCAGUGGGGAAUCUUAGACAAUGGGCGAAAGCCUGAUCUAGCGAUGCCGCGUGUGUGACGAAGGCCUUAGGGUCGUAAAGCACUUUCGCCAAGGAUGAUAAUGACAGUACUUGGUAAAGAAACCCCGGCUAACUCCGUGCCAGCAGCCGCGGUAAC
This 443-nucleotide ribosomal RNA is filed under the name uncultured Octadecabacter sp. RNAcentral's name for it is "bacterial SSU rRNA". It matches the Rfam family "Bacterial small subunit ribosomal RNA", at positions 38 to 524 of the family's 1533-position model. The record is from RNAcentral. Lineage: Bacteria; Pseudomonadati; Pseudomonadota; Alphaproteobacteria; Rhodobacterales; Roseobacteraceae.